Molecule: ribosomal RNA, 253 nt
Filed under: uncultured bacterium
Lineage: Bacteria
Description: partial 16S ribosomal RNA
Rfam family: Bacterial small subunit ribosomal RNA
Source: RNAcentral
UACGUAGGGCGCGAGCGUUUUCCGGAAUUAUUGGGCGUAAAGAGCUCGUAGGCGGCUUGUUGCGUCGGAUGUGAAAGCCCGGGGCUUAACUCCGGGUCUGCAUUCGAUACGGGCAGGCUAGAGUUCGGUAGGGGAGAUCGGAAUUCCUGGUGUAGCGGUGAAAUGCGCAGAUAUCAGGAGGAACACCAAUAGCGAAGGCAGCUCGCUGGGACGGUAUUGACGCUAAGGCGCGAAAGCGUGGGGAGCAAACAGG